Molecule: long non-coding RNA, 719 nt
Filed under: Equus caballus (horse)
Lineage: Eukaryota; Metazoa; Chordata; Mammalia; Perissodactyla; Equidae
Description: lncRNA (ENSECAG00000032377.2)
Source: RNAcentral
AACAAACCCAACGAAAUGUAAAUUGAUUUACUUUUAACCAGCUUGCCUUGUGAAACAAUGCCACAGAGAAAAAGUAUGCAGACAUUGACAAGGUUCCCUGGAACAGUUUCUGCAAGGAGCAGAGGAGAGGCAAGCAUGACUUGAUAAAGUGUCCACAGCCCGUGACAGAGAGGAGGAAUUAGACAACCAAAAUAUCAGCACUGUUGUCUGUAAAGCUCCUGGCUGCUAUUUUGGAAAGAAAGAGAAUAAAGUCAAGGGAACUACUAGGCCAGGUGAAUGCUGGAGAUGGUAUUGUGACAUCAAGCCUAGAAGAAGAGUUCCAUUUGGUCAUUCGAUGCCUGGGAUGGAUAGGGGUAGGCAAUGAAAAUGGAUAUAAGGAGAAAGAGAAGGAUGUCAAAAAUAAGAAUCCUUUUUCCAGCGGGAUGGUUUUGUCGUUGUGGGUGAAUGUGGAGAAGAAAACAGAAACUCAGCAAUGGGAAACGACUUGACUGAAUUACAGAAACAAAUAUUCGAAAUUUAAAUUCAGGGCUAAUUUCACUUCUGAUGCUUUUUCUGAUCACCAAGCCAAGAUGUAUUAUUGCUAUUCAUGUAAAAAGAAGUACUUGGAUAUAUACUGAGCAGUAGUACCCUAUAUUUUUUUACUCCAGAAAUUAUACAGACCGUGAAAACAACAAAAGACAAAUUACUUUCCCUUUUCCUCUACCAUAUUUAAAAUAAAG